This 499-nucleotide ribosomal RNA is filed under the name uncultured Chromatiaceae bacterium. RNAcentral's name for it is "partial 16S ribosomal RNA". The record is from RNAcentral. Lineage: Bacteria; Pseudomonadati; Pseudomonadota; Gammaproteobacteria; Chromatiales; Chromatiaceae.
AAUGGACCCCACAGCUAGUGAACAUCGUUUACGGCGUGGACUACCAGGGUAUCUAAUCCUGGUUUGCUCCCCACGCUUUCGCACCUCAACGUCAGUAUUGGUGCAGGGGGCCGCCUUCCCCACUGGGGUUCCUCCCGAAAUCUACGCAUUUCACCGCUACACCUGGAAUUCCACCCCCCUCUACCAGACUCAAGCAAGGCAGUAUCCAAUGCACUUCCCCGGUUGAGCCCGGGACUUUCACAUCUGACUGAACUAACCACCUACCUGCGCUUUACGCCCAGUAAUUCCGAGAAACGCUUGCACCCUCCGUAUUACCGCGGCUGCUGGCACGGAGUUAGCCGGUGCUUCUUCUGUGGGUAACGUCAACACCUAGGGGUAUUAACCCCUGGCUUUUCUUCCCCACUGAAAAUGCUUUAGGAACUCCAAGGCUUCUUCACACACGCUGCAUUAGAGGAUCAAGCUUUCCCCCAAUGGCCAAUAUUCCCCACCGCUGCCUCCC